UGUCCAUGAUAGAGGAGAACCACUAUGUAUAUGUCAAGAAGACAGAGAAUGGUAUUUUCUUUCUCUCUCUAUACGUCGACGAUAUACUAUUGGCUGGAAAUGACAUGGAGUUAAUCAAUACCACUAAGGAGUGGUUUGUUAAGGAUUUUAUAGGUUGGCGAAUUUCGUAAAGUUGUUUGGAGUCUUGAAGAGUUGAUCGCAGAAGUUAUUCAAAUUGGAGAACGAAGACUCAUUCGGAAAGCUCGACACCUAAGGUAUGAAGAAAAGAUCAUUUGUGGUGAAGAUACCUAAUUAGAAUAAGUUCAGAAGGCUUAG
Molecule: long non-coding RNA, 315 nt
Filed under: Ananas comosus (pineapple)
Lineage: Eukaryota; Viridiplantae; Streptophyta; Magnoliopsida; Poales; Bromeliaceae
Description: long non-coding RNA (ACOM_LNC012040)
Source: RNAcentral